Molecule: long non-coding RNA, 615 nt
Organism: Anneissia japonica
Lineage: Eukaryota; Metazoa; Echinodermata; Crinoidea; Comatulida; Comatulidae
Exons: 3
Source: RefSeq, a predicted model, not a curated record
UACAUUUCACAGUGCCAGUCCACAGCUAUCAAGGCCUUUCUUGUAAUUCUAAUCUCUUUUCAAUGCGUUAUGUAACAUUACAUAAGCAACACUUUAAUUCUAGCCUGGUGAUUGGACAUCCAUUAUCACAGACCAUGCACAAAUCUAUGACCUUCGUUAUCUCUGAAAGCAUAAAAUUCUGGUUGAUGAAUGAUAAAUAGCUAAACAAUUGGACAGCAGUAAAGUACAUUCAGUACUUGGCAUGAAGUCUCCAUCAGUGACAAGGGAUUUACAGAAAGUUUCAUAUUUUAAUGCUACGAACAUGAUUAUCAUUUCAAGUUCUAUCUCUGACUGGUCAUCAACACUUUCAUUUGGCUUUAUUGGAAUGGAACGGGUGCCAAGAACUGGUGAUGGAUAGGUUAUUUUCCGAUGCAAGUCUGGUGAUGCUAUUUGGUUAACGUAUAUCUGCUCGUCUUUGUUUGUAUCUAAUGGUUUGAUGUCAGGUUGGUAAAGUCUGAAUCAUUGGUUGAUUCAAUAAACAUGGAUUGUGUUGUACGUUCAUCAUUUUCUCCAGGGAUGUGUGACAGCGCAGACUGGCUGGAGUACCGCACUGUUGAAUUUUUAAAGUCGGCAUUA